UCAAAGGAUUCAGAACUGGAU
RNAcentral lists this microRNA (21 nucleotides) under Sarcophilus harrisii (Tasmanian devil). RNAcentral describes it as "Sha-Mir-12366-v2_3p (mature (guide))". RNAcentral also lists the same sequence under 2 other names. The record is from RNAcentral. Lineage: Eukaryota; Metazoa; Chordata; Mammalia; Dasyuromorphia; Dasyuridae.